GACGAAUGCUGGCGGCGUGCUUAACACAUGCAAGUCGAACGGAAAGGCCCUGCUUUUGUGGGGUGCUCGAGUGGCGAACGGGUGAGUAACACGUGAGUAACCUGCCCUUGACUUUGGGAUAACUUCAGGAAACUGGGGCUAAUACCGGAUAGGAGCUCCUGCUGCAUGGUGGGGGUUGGAAAGUUUCGGCGGUUGGGGAUGGACUCGCGGCUUAUCAGCUUGUUGGUGGGGUAGUGGCUUACCAAGGCUUUGACGGGUGGCCGGCCUGAGAGGGUGACCGGCCACAUUGGGACUGAGAUACGGCCCAGACUCCUACGGGAGGCAGCAGUGGGGAAUAUUGCACAAUGGGCGGAAGCCUGAUGCAGCAACGCCGCGUGCGGGAUGACGGCCUUCGGGUUGUAAACCGCUUUCGCCUGUGACGAAGCGUGAGUGACGGUAAUGGGUAAAGAAGCACCGGCUAACUACGUG
RNAcentral lists this ribosomal RNA (468 nucleotides) under uncultured bacterium. Its description in RNAcentral is "partial 16S ribosomal RNA". It matches the Rfam family "Bacterial small subunit ribosomal RNA", at positions 28 to 507 of the family's 1533-position model. The record is from RNAcentral.